This 119-nucleotide ribosomal RNA is filed under the name Propithecus coquereli (Coquerel's sifaka). Lineage: Eukaryota; Metazoa; Chordata; Mammalia; Primates; Indriidae. The record is from RNAcentral.
GUCUAUGGCCAUACCACCCCAAACACGCCUGAUCUUGUCUGAUCUCAGAAACUAAGGAGGGUUGGGACUGGUUAGUACUUGGAUGGGAGACCACCUGGGAAUACCGGGUGCUUUUUUUA